Molecule: ribosomal RNA, 253 nt
Filed under: uncultured bacterium
Lineage: Bacteria
Description: partial 16S ribosomal RNA
Rfam family: Bacterial small subunit ribosomal RNA
Source: RNAcentral
UACAGAGGGUGCGAGCGUUGUCCGGAAUCACUGGGCGUAAAGGGCGCGUAGGUGGCGGCCCAAGUCCGUGGUGAAAGCUCGCCGCUUAACGGCGAGUCGGCCACGGAGACUGGGUGGCUCGAGCACUGUAGGGGCAGAUGGAAUUCCCGGUGUAGUGGUGAAAUGCGUAGAGAUCGGGAGGAAUACCUGUGGCGAAGGCGGCCUACUGGGCCGGACCUGACGCUGAGACGCGAAGGCGUGGGGAGCGAACGGG